AGGGAAAACGCCGACUUCACGCAUUUACCU
This 30-nucleotide non-coding RNA is filed under the name Homo sapiens (human). Lineage: Eukaryota; Metazoa; Chordata; Mammalia; Primates; Hominidae. The record is from RNAcentral.